CGAAUUGCGCUAUGUACUGUGAAUUNCCGAAUUCAGUGCAUCAUCGCAUCUUUGAACGCACAUUGCA
Molecule: ribosomal RNA, 67 nt
Filed under: uncultured Clavariaceae
Lineage: Eukaryota; Fungi; Basidiomycota; Agaricomycetes; Agaricales; Clavariaceae
Description: partial 5.8S ribosomal RNA
Source: RNAcentral